UACAGAGGAUGCAAGCGUUAUCCGGAAUGAUUGGGCGUAAAGCGUCUGUAGGGGGCUUUUUAAGUCCGCCGUCAAAUCCCAGGGCUCAACUCUGGACAGGCGGUGGAAACUACCAAGCUGGAGUACGGUAGGGGCAGAGGGAAUUUCCGGUGGAGCGGUGAAAUGCGUAGAUAUCGUCUGGAACGCCGAAGGUGAAAACAGCUCGCUGGGGCUGCGCUGACGCUGAGACACGAAAGCCAGGGGAGCGAACGGG
This 253-nucleotide ribosomal RNA is filed under the name uncultured bacterium. Its description in RNAcentral is "partial 16S ribosomal RNA". It matches the Rfam family "Bacterial small subunit ribosomal RNA", at positions 524 to 776 of the family's 1533-position model. The record is from RNAcentral.